Molecule: ribosomal RNA, 253 nt
Filed under: uncultured bacterium
Lineage: Bacteria
Description: partial 16S ribosomal RNA
Rfam family: Bacterial small subunit ribosomal RNA
Source: RNAcentral
UACGUAGGUGGCAAGCGUUGUCCGGAAUUAUUGGGCGUAAAGCGCGCGCAGGCGGCUCUUUAAGUCUGAUGUGAAAGCCCACGGCUCAACCGUGGAGGGUCAUUGGAAACUGGGGGACUUGAGUACAGAAGAGAAGAGUGGAAUUCCACGUGUAGCGGUGAAAUGCGUAGAGAUGUGGAGGAACACCAGUGGCGAAGGCGACUCUUUGGUCUGUAACUGACGCUGAGGCGCGAAAGCGUGGGGAGCAAACAGG